GCUGAAAGUUUUUAACAUCCGGCAGUUAAUAAUAAUAAAAUUAUGUAACGCGAAUUCCUACGGGAGUGCAAUAAUUCUGUUUAACGUUUUGUUCCAUCCGACUACGGCCGUAUACAAGUACACCGCUCGUGGUCUGCGAACACCGAUCAUACCAGCCGGUUACCGUAAUACGUUAACAUAACAUUGUUGUCGUGUUUAUCGUAAUCUGUC
Non-coding RNA from Cinara cedri, 210 nucleotides. The record is from the annotation of a GenBank genome assembly. Lineage: Eukaryota; Metazoa; Arthropoda; Insecta; Hemiptera; Aphididae.